RNAcentral lists this ribosomal RNA (397 nucleotides) under uncultured bacterium. RNAcentral describes it as "partial 16S ribosomal RNA". It matches the Rfam family "Bacterial small subunit ribosomal RNA", at positions 523 to 918 of the family's 1533-position model. The record is from RNAcentral.
AUACGUAGGUGGCAAGCGUUGUCCGGAAUUAUUGGGCGUAAAGCGCGCGCAGGCGGUCCUUUAAGUCUGAUGUGAAAGCCCACGGCUCAACCGUGGAGGGUCAUUGGAAACUGGGGGACUUGAGUGCAGAAGAGGAAAGUGGAAUUCCAAGUGUAGCGGUGAAAUGCGUAGAGAUUUGGAGGAACACCAGUGGCGAAGGCGACUUUCUGGUCUGUAACUGACGCUGAGGCGCGAAAGCGUGGGGAGCAAACAGGAUUAGAUACCCUGGUAGUCCACGCCGUAAACGAUGAGUGCUAAGUGUUAGGGGGUUUCCGCCCCUUAGUGCUGCAGCUAACGCAUUAAGCACUCCGCCUGGGGAGUACGGUCGCAAGACUGAAACUCAAAGGAAUUGACGGGG